UACGGGGGGAGCAAGCGUUGUUCCGGAUUUACUGGGCGUAAAGGGCGCGUAGGCGGCCACCGCAAGUCGACUGUGAAAUCUCCGGGCUUAACCCGGAAAGGUCAGCCGAUACUGCGGGGCUAGAGUGCAGAAGGGGCAACUGGAAUUCUCGGUGUAGCGGUGAAAUGCGUAGAUAUCGAGAGGAACACCUGCGGCGAAGGCGGGUUGCUGGGCUGAUACUGACGCUGAGGCGCGAAAGCCAGGGGAGCGAACGGG
This 255-nucleotide ribosomal RNA is filed under the name uncultured bacterium. RNAcentral describes it as "partial 16S ribosomal RNA". It matches the Rfam family "Bacterial small subunit ribosomal RNA", at positions 524 to 776 of the family's 1533-position model. The record is from RNAcentral.